This 497-nucleotide ribosomal RNA is filed under the name uncultured bacterium. RNAcentral's name for it is "partial 16S ribosomal RNA". It matches the Rfam family "Bacterial small subunit ribosomal RNA", at positions 28 to 507 of the family's 1533-position model. The record is from RNAcentral.
GAUGAACGCUGGCGGCGUGCCUAAUACAUGCAAGUCGAGCGAACAGAUAAGGAGCUUGCUCCUUUGACGUUAGCGGCGGACGGGUGAGUAACACGUGGGUAACCUACCUAUAAGACUGGGAUAACUUCGGGAAACCGGAGCUAAUACCGGAUAAUAUUUCGAACCGCAUGGUUCGAUAGUGAAAGAUGGUUUUGCUAUCACUUAUAGAUGGACCCGCGCCGUAUUAGCUAGUUGGUAAGGUAACGGCUUACCAAGGCGACGAUACGUAGCCGACCUGAGAGGGUGAUCGGCCACACUGGAACUGAGACACGGUCCAGACUCCUACGGGAGGCAGCAGUAGGGAAUCUUCCGCAAUGGGCGAAAGCCUGACGGAGCAACGCCGCGUGAGUGAUGAAGGUCUUCGGAUCGUAAAACUCUGUUAUUAGGGAAGAACAUACGUGUAAGUAACUGUGCACGUCUUGACGGUACCUAAACAGAAAGCCACGGCUAACUACGUG